AUUGAACGCUGGCGGCAGGCCUAACACAUGCAAGUCGAGCGGUAGAGAGGUGCUUGCAUCUCUUGAGAGCGGCGGACGGGUGAGUAAUGCCUAGGAAUCUGCCUAGUGGUGGGGGAUAACGUUCGGAAACGGACGCUAAUACCGCAUACGUCCUACGGGAGAAAGCGGGGGAUCUUCGGACCUCGCGCCAUUAGAUGAGCCUAGGUCGGAUUAGCUAGUUGGUGAGGUAAUGGCUCACCAAGGCGACGAUCCGUAACUGGUCUGAGAGGAUGAUCAGUCACACUGGAACUGAGACACGGUCCAGACUCCUACGGGAGGCAGCAGU
Molecule: ribosomal RNA, 325 nt
Filed under: uncultured bacterium
Lineage: Bacteria
Description: bacterial SSU rRNA
Rfam family: Bacterial small subunit ribosomal RNA
Source: RNAcentral